Molecule: ribosomal RNA, 640 nt
Filed under: uncultured bacterium
Lineage: Bacteria
Description: bacterial SSU rRNA
Rfam family: Bacterial small subunit ribosomal RNA (bases 1-546)
Source: RNAcentral
CCUACGGGAGGCAGCAGUGGGGAAUAUUGGACAAUGGGCGCAAGCCUGAUCCAGCCAUGCCGCGUGUGUGAAGAAGGCCUUCGGGUUGUAAAGCACUUUUAUCCGGAAAGAAAAGCUUUGGGUUAAUACCCUGAAGUCAUGACGGUACCGGAAGAAUAAGCACCGGCUAACUUCGUGCCAGCAGCCGCGGUAAUACGAAGGGUGCAAGCGUUACUCGGAAUUACUGGGCGUAAAGCGUGCGUAGGUGGUUUGUUAAGUCUGAAUGGUGAAAGCCCCUAGGCUCAACCUGGGAAUUGCAUUGGAUACUGGCAGGCUAGAGUGCGGUAGAGGAUAGUGGAAUUCCCGGUGUAGCAGUGAAAUGCGUAGAGAUCGGGAGGAACAUCUGUGGCGAAGGCGACUAUCUGGGCCAGCGACUGACACUGAGGCACGAAAGCGUGGGGAGCAAACAGGAUUAGAUACCCCUGGUAGUCCCACGCCCUAAACGAUGNGACAGAUGUGGUGCACUAGANACNCAGUAUGAGACAACGACGUUAAGUUACGUCCGCCGUCGGGAGGUACGGUCGGCGAAGAACGUAGAACGUAACAAACUAGAAGUUAGGUACGGACGUUGAGACGNGCGACGGACGACACAGGGAGGAGG